This 495-nucleotide ribosomal RNA is filed under the name uncultured bacterium. RNAcentral describes it as "partial 16S ribosomal RNA". It matches the Rfam family "Bacterial small subunit ribosomal RNA", at positions 28 to 505 of the family's 1533-position model. The record is from RNAcentral.
GAUGAACGCUGGCGGCGUGCCUAAUACAUGCAAGUCGAGCGAACGGACGAGAAGCUUGCUUCUCUGAUGUUAGCGGCGGACGGGUGAGUAACACGUGGAUAACCUACCUAUAAGACUGGGAUAACUUCGGGAAACCGGAGCUAAUACCGGAUAAUAUUUUGAACCGCAUGGUUCAAAAGUGAAAGACGGUCUUGCUGUCACUUAUAGAUGGAUCCGCGCUGCAUUAGCUAGUUGGUAAGGUAACGGCUUACCAAGGCAACGAUGCAUAGCCGACCUGAGAGGGAGAUCGGCCACACUGGAACUGAGACACGGUCCAGACUCAUACGAGAGGCAGCAGUAGGGAAUCUUCCGCAAUGGGCGAAAGCCUGACGGAGCAACGCCGCGUGAGUGAUGAAGGUCUUCGGAUCGUAAAACUCUGUUAUUAGGGAAGAACAUAUGUGUAAGUAACUGUGCACAUCUUGACGGUACCUAAUCAGAAAGCCACGGCUAACUACG